CCUACGGGUGGCUGCAGUGGGGAAUAUUGGACAAUGGGCGAAAGCCUGAUCCAGCCAUGCCGCGUGUGUGAAGAAGGCCUUCGGGUUGUAAAGCACUUUCAGUGGGGAAGAAAGCCUUGGGGCUAAUACCCUCGAGGAAGGACAUCACCCACAGAAGAAGCACCGGCUAACUCCGUGCCAGCAGCCGCGGUAAUACGGAGGGUGCGAGCGUUAAUCGGAAUUACUGGGCGUAAAGCGCGCGUAGGCGGUCUGAUAAGCCGGUUGUGAAAGCCCCGGGCUCAACCUGGGAACGGCAUCCGGAACUGUCAGGCUAGAGUGCAGGAGAGGAAGGUAGAAUUCCCGGUGUAGCGGUGAAAUGCGUAGAGAUCGGGAGGAAUACCAGUGGCGAAGGCGGCCUUCUGGACUGACACUGACGCUGAGGUGCGAAAGCGUGGGUAGCAAACAGGAUUACAUACCCUAGUAGUC
Molecule: ribosomal RNA, 465 nt
Filed under: Vreelandella stevensii
Lineage: Bacteria; Pseudomonadati; Pseudomonadota; Gammaproteobacteria; Oceanospirillales; Halomonadaceae
Description: partial 16S ribosomal RNA
Rfam family: Bacterial small subunit ribosomal RNA
Source: RNAcentral